Long non-coding RNA from Anolis carolinensis (green anole), 735 nucleotides. RefSeq lists it as uncharacterized. NCBI's taxonomy places the organism in Eukaryota, Metazoa, Chordata, Lepidosauria, Squamata, Anolidae. The transcript is spliced from 6 exons. The record is from RefSeq and is a predicted model, not a curated record.
CUAGUAACACCUGCUAAAAUGCCCUCUGUGAUACAGCCACUAAAGAGGCAAUCCUGUUUAUACUGGUGGAGAUGUGGGUUAGAAUUCAGUUGAGCCUAUUCCCAAUUGGGAAUGCAGUUAUCAUCUAUCAGUCUUUGGUUUGUUUUUCCUGACAGUAUGGAAGCUGCAUCUCCAGCGAUCAAUAUACAUAAUUUUACAGAAGGCCGUCGGAAAAAAUAAGUGCGUCACCCAAAUUGAGAGACAUCUUGCAAACAUCCGCGGGGAACAUAUCUUUAACGUGUGAUAAUUCUACUCCAGAACCUUCUAAAACUGCUUUAGACAGAUGGAGCCUGAUCAGAAACAUGAGGACAUUGAUAUUUCUACACUUCAAGUUCAAGUGGAUGAUGUCAAAAAUGUUAUGACUCAAAAUAUUGAAAAAGUCUUGAAAAGAGAAGAGCGGCUGUCUGACCUAGCUGACAGAAGUGAUGAUCUUGAAACAGCGGCUCAUGGUUUCCAAAAAACCACUACAAAGAUUGCAAGGAAGAUGUGGUGGAAAAACACAAAAAUGAUCGUAAUUAUUGUGGCAAUUAUCCUUAUUGUUGUGACUUUCAUUGUUCUCCUGGCCACAGGUGUUAUUCCAACAUAAAGAAUAUAUGUAGCUAAAUGUAACAAACAGAAUAUGCUGUAAAAAUAUUCUGUAUUAAAACAUUUUGGUAUAUUCAUUUUUAUAUAUUAAAAUAUAUUUAACAGCUACUA